GGGUGCUCUUCUUCUUGGAUCCGGCCACCCCGAUACGGGCCUCCACAUCAGCAUUCCUGAGCUUCAGGAUCCCCACACAGUCUACACUGUAGAGACACCCUACUAAGAAAAUUAUGGAUUUGGAACAAUAUGAGGGCUGUUGUGUUUCGGCCUGUAACUUUGCAGGCCUGGUAGAACCCAUGAGGCUUCACACGCCCAGCGUCAUUGCCAACAAAAAUCUGCAGUAUCACUUGCUCCUUCA
Myxocyprinus asiaticus (Chinese sucker) is the source of this 241-nucleotide long non-coding RNA. RefSeq lists it as uncharacterized. The record is from RefSeq and is a predicted model, not a curated record. Lineage: Eukaryota; Metazoa; Chordata; Actinopteri; Cypriniformes; Catostomidae. The transcript is spliced from 3 exons.